GACGAACGCUGGCGGCGUGCUUAACACAUGCAAGUCGAACGGAAAGGCCCUGCUUUUGUGGGGUGCUCGAGUGGCGAACGGGUGAGUAACACGUGAGUAACCUGCCCUUGACUUUGGGAUAACUUCAGGAAACUGGGGCGAAUACCGGAUAGGAGCUCCUGCUGCAUGGGGGGGGUUGGAAAGUUUCGGCGGUUGGGGAUGGACUCGCGGCUUAUCAGCUUGUUGGUGGGGUAGUGGCUUACCAAGGCUUUGACGGGUAGCCGGCCUGAGAGGGUGACCGGCCACAUUGGGACUGAGAUACGGCCCAGACUUCUACGGGAGGCAGCAGUGGGGAAUAUUGCACAAUGGGCGGAAGCCUGAUGCAGCAACGCCGCGUGCGGGAUGACGGCCUUCGGGUUGUAAACCGCUUUCGCCUGUGACGAAGCGUGAGUGACGGUAAUGGGUAAAGAAGCACCGGCUAACUACGUG
RNAcentral lists this ribosomal RNA (468 nucleotides) under uncultured bacterium. Its description in RNAcentral is "partial 16S ribosomal RNA". It matches the Rfam family "Bacterial small subunit ribosomal RNA", at positions 28 to 507 of the family's 1533-position model. The record is from RNAcentral.